Molecule: long non-coding RNA, 3071 nt
Organism: Cygnus olor (mute swan)
Lineage: Eukaryota; Metazoa; Chordata; Aves; Anseriformes; Anatidae
Exons: 4
Source: RefSeq, a predicted model, not a curated record
UAUUCACAUACUGCAAGGAUCAGUCAAAAUAAGGUACGUGACAGCAGCCUGUGUCCCUGAGUUACAUACAUUUCCUGAAGCGGCCUCCAGCUGGGUCUCCAAAUUUGCAGCAGAAGCCAUGAGGAUUUUCCUAAGGAAAAACUGCUUUGGCUUCAUUAACAUGGGAAUAUUUUGCACAUAUUUUUGAGCAUUUCUAAGGUACAGAGUAAAACUGUUCAAUUUCACAUUUUUAUUUCAUUGUUUUUCCGUGCCAUGACUCUUUUUCUUUCCAGCUCAUUUUUCUGUUUUGCUUGUUAAGCUGCUGCUUUUACUUUAUCAGGAGAGGCUGUACACUUUAUUGAUUAAGCUGCCUGUUUUUCUGUUUCAUGACAUUUUUCAUUUGAAUGUGUACUUGUUUUGCUGAAUCAGCUGUGUAUCGAAAUGCUUGAGGAUUCAACUACUCUUCUAUUUGAUCUGCAUUUUUGGUUUAAUCCUCUUGCUCUUUUUUGCUUGCUCAGCUGGCUACUACUUAGCCAAGUAAUUUUGGGGGGGUGGGGGGAGCUGCACUGCCAAUUUCAUUUCUAACUAGGAAACAUAUGCUCUAAAAUAAGUUCCAGUCAUUCAUGGCUGUAACUGUAUAUUGUUUGAAUUAAAUUCCUUUUAAACAGGGAAGAACAGGAAAGAGUGACUUAGUUUAUUUUAUUUAAUUUACAGUGUUUGCGUUGUGACCCAGUGUCAGGAAUACUUGGGAGAGUGCCCAACCUGGAAGCCAAACAUAAGUGAUCAGCCAAAGAAACCAUGGUUUUCUCUAGCCAAUUCUGGCUUUUGGCAUUGAGCUCCUGAUCAAGACCAUUGAAACGCUGCAGAAGAUGCCUCUGGCCCGAGACACGUUAGCUUAUCUCUUGGGAGGGAACAAACUGCAAGGUGUGUCACACACACAGCCUGUUUAAUACCGAUGUGGAUUAGAGAGCCUCUGAUAUAAAGGAGAGGGGGCUCAAAUGGCAUCAGUGUUAUCAAUUCAUCUGUAACCAGUUCCUGAAGUGAUGCCUUACAGUAAGCCAGCCUGGAGCUAAGCGACUCUGCCAUCAUCAGGCUCAAUUCAGCAAUGCAAAAGACAAGAGGGACCAUUGCAGCUGCUCUACGAGCCCUGGAAAUUCUGCUGAAAGACUGCAGCAGUUCCCUGCUACAGGCAUUGUGCCAGAGAGACAUUGAUGCAAAACACACUGCUGCUGGGAUUUUACCACUUGAAUGAGUUACCUGGACAUGGUUGAGUUCUGAUUUCCAUUCAGCAUUGUGGGAAAGCGCAAGAACAAAACCAUGCAAGAGAAAAGAGGAAGAGAAAUGUCUCCUGCAGCCUCACAUCCCUGGCCUUCUGCCUGCUGCUGCUUGAAGCAGAGCUCUGUGCAUGAGAUGAGCUUUGGAGUGACCUUGUUUUGCUGCUCAGCUUGAGCCUCAAGGGCAACACUGAAAGCCCCCAUCACUGGGCUCAUCACUUGCCAAGAAGAGUCCACCUCUGCAGUGUGUUAUGUUUAAGCUCCUGAGUUUUGCUGAGCAUUUCCUUUCCCUCUCCCUCCCACCACCUGUGUCCCCCUUCCUGGAAAUACCUCACUUGAGGCGUGACUCUUUAAUAAUGCUAGAAUACAUAUAUAAGGUAAAAGAAUAAAGCUCACACAUCCUCGACCACCAUGAGCUUUUUCAUUCCAUGACCAGGUUGGACAGAAGCUGGAGUUUUUGCAGGCUAUUUGGAAUCAAAGAGAAGGGUUUAUGAUUAGUCUGAUUAUAAUAAGCUCAAAGACAAGAAUGUGGGCGAAAAAAAAAAAUCCCUAAACAGACCCUUUACCAGAGACCUAUCUGCUUUGUGACUGAGAUGGGAGAGCUGGAUCCUCACUCUCCCAUAGUGUAUCUGCGUGCAAGCAGACUACAGCUGCUGCUGCUGCUGAAGGUGUUGUGGAUGCUUUUAUGUGCAGUACUUUGCACUUUGAUGGUUGCAGUGGUAGGUUUAUAUGCAAGAGUGCAAGGCAUGUGAAUGUAAUUCAGAGUCAGUAUUUUAUUCCUAGUUAGGCAGCUGGAUAUUAUUCUGCAGACAGUUCUGAUUCUUAUACAGGACUAAAUGCCACUGCAUUAUUAUGGUUUUGCAUCCUUGGUUUUCUUAUGGCUCUGUUAAAAUGGCCACACAUGGCAAAAAAUGGAUCAAACUCUCCCUUCUCAUUAGUGUACAUCUGACCUGAAAUGACUCCCUCAUCUACAUAUUUCACUGAUGAUUUCAUGGUUAUCAUUAGCCAACAUUUGGUUUUUUUUUUGUGUCCAAAAAUUGGAAACCUGCCCAAGCUCUGCUUUUUACCCAGAGGGUCUAUAUGGACUUCUUUUAAGGUAUGUGACAGCUAAUGAAGUGAAGCAAGCCUAUUUUCAGAGUAUCAAAGCUGUUAAAUAGGGGUUAACACCUCCACUUCAGGAUUUUCUGUCAGAAAAAGGCUGAGAACUGCUGCCGUUUCAGAAAAAUAAUUCCUUACUGACGCACAGUGAGACAGUAAGUUCAGCUAACAAAAUGAAAAGGACCAAGCCUGCACCUGACUGGUAUGCACAAUUUCUUUACCUCUACCAGAUAAAGUGCACAAAAUGUGUAAAGGCUGGAAACUGCUCUCUACCUAACCUCUAAAUCCCUUCUCCUGGUGUUUUCAACAUAGCAGAACCCACCUGUGCACCCAGAGCCCUAAGAUGUUUGGUGCUAGGCCCUUGCUACAACUGUCCACGAAAAAGGAGAAAGUGGUGAGUUUCUGAACAGAUGGCUCAUAUGAGGUGACACAAAGCCAGGAGGAGUGUCUGGUACACCCAAGGGUUCUGCUGCUAUCCAGAGGGAUAUAAACAGGCUAGAGAAAUGGGCCAGCAGGAACCUCAGGAAGUACAACAAGGACAAGAGUGAAGGCCUGCACUGGGGAAUGAACGGCCUCAGGCACCAGCUGGGAGCUACUCAGAUGGAAAACAGCUUGUCAGGAAAGUACCUGGGGACGUAUCUUGGUGGACACCAAGUUGCUGCAAAGAAGGCUAAUGGUAAUCUGGGCUGCAUUAGGCAAAGUGUUGUCUGCAGGUGGAGG